Molecule: small nuclear RNA, 119 nt
Organism: Bombina bombina (fire-bellied toad)
Lineage: Eukaryota; Metazoa; Chordata; Amphibia; Anura; Bombinatoridae
Product: U5 spliceosomal RNA
Exons: 1
Source: RefSeq, a predicted model, not a curated record
AUACUCUGGUUUAUCUUCAGAUUGAAUAAAGCUUUUGCCUUUACUAAAGAUUUCCGUGGAGAGGAACAUCCAUGAGUUUUCCAAAAAAAUGUUUUUGAAGAUCUGCCCCUUGCUGGGCU